CCUACGGGGGGCAGCAGUGGGGAAUAUUGGACAAUGGGGGGAACCCUGAUCCAGCCAUGCCGCGUGUGUGAAGAAGGCCCUCGGGUUGUAAAGCACUUUCAGUGAGGAAGAACGCCUGGUGGUUAAUACCCAUCAGGAAAGACAUCACUCACAGAAGAAGCACCGGCUAACUCCGUGCCAGCAGCCGCGGUAAUACGGAGGGUGCGAGCGUUAAUCGGAAUUACUGGGCGUAAAGCGCGCGUAGGUGGCUUGAUAAGCCGGUUGUGAAAGCCCCGGGCUCAACCUGGGAACGGCAUCCGGAACUGUCAAGCUAGAGUGCAGGAGAGGAAGGUAGAAUUCCCGGUGUAGCGGUGAAAUGCGUAGAGAUCGGGAGGAAUACCAGUGGCGAAGGCGGCCUUCUGGACUGACACUGACACUGAGGUGCGAAAGCGUGGGUAGCAAACAGGAUUAGAUAUCCCGGUAGUC
This 465-nucleotide ribosomal RNA is filed under the name Vreelandella stevensii. RNAcentral describes it as "partial 16S ribosomal RNA". It matches the Rfam family "Bacterial small subunit ribosomal RNA", at positions 338 to 795 of the family's 1533-position model. Lineage: Bacteria; Pseudomonadati; Pseudomonadota; Gammaproteobacteria; Oceanospirillales; Halomonadaceae. The record is from RNAcentral.